Molecule: ribosomal RNA, 465 nt
Filed under: uncultured Klebsiella sp.
Lineage: Bacteria; Pseudomonadati; Pseudomonadota; Gammaproteobacteria; Enterobacterales; Enterobacteriaceae
Description: bacterial SSU rRNA
Rfam family: Bacterial small subunit ribosomal RNA
Source: RNAcentral
CCUACGGGUGGCAGCAGUGGGGAAUAUUGCACAAUGGGCGCAAGCCUGAUGCAGCCAUGCCGCGUGUGUGAAGAAGGCCUUCGGGCUGUAAAGCACUUUCAGCGGGGAGGAAGGCGUUAAGGUUAAUAACCUUGGCGAUUGACGUUACCCGCAGAAGAAGCACCGGCUAACUCCGUGCCAGCAGCCGCGGUAAUACGGAGGGUGCAAGCGUUAAUCGGAAUUACUGGGCGUAAAGCGCACGCAGGCGGUCUGUCAAGUCGGAUGUGAAAUCCCCGGGCUCAACCUGGGAACUGCAUUCGAAACUGGCAGGCUAGAGUCUUGUAGAGGGGGGUAGAAUUCCAGGUGUAGCGGUGAAAUGCGUAGAGAUCUGGAGGAAUACCGGUGGCGAAGGCGGCCCCCUGGACAAAGACUGACGCUCAGGUGCGAAAGCGUGGGGAGCAAACAGGAUUAGAUACCCCAGUAGUC